This 176-nucleotide ribosomal RNA is filed under the name Gastrotheca orophylax (Papallacta marsupial frog). Its description in RNAcentral is "partial 16S ribosomal RNA". Lineage: Eukaryota; Metazoa; Chordata; Amphibia; Anura; Hemiphractidae. The record is from RNAcentral.
CCUACGUGAUCUGAGUUCAGACCGGAGUAAUCCAGGUCAGUUUCUAUCUAUAAGAAGGCUUCUCUAGUACGAAAGGACCGAAAAGACAUAGCCAAUGCCCUAGCAAGCUAUACUCAUCAACUUAUGACCCCAACUUAAUAAUAAAAUAGUUCAACACCUAGCCUAAGAAAAAGGCA